GAAAUGCGAUACUUGGUGUGAAUUGUAGAAUCCCAUGAACCAUCGAGUCUUUGCAUGCAAGUUGCACCCGAUGUUAUUAGGUUGAGGGCACGUUUGCCUAGGCAUCUCACGUUGUGUCGCCAGUACCCCCUCCCCCCGAAGGGAAGGGUUGUAGGCGGAUGUUGGCCCCCCGCGCUCGCCCACGCGGGGUCAGCCUAAAAAUGAGUCCCCCGCAAUAAAUAGCACUUUGUGACAAGUGGUGGUCGACAAACUGUUGGGUCACCUCGAAGUUGUCGCGGGAGCUCUGUUGUGAUCCUAUCGCACCACUGCCAAGGUGCUCCGAUCGCAACACCAGGUCAGGCAGGAUUGCCUGUUGAGUUUAA
Molecule: unclassified non-coding RNA, 362 nt
Filed under: uncultured fungus
Lineage: Eukaryota; Fungi
Description: sequence contains ITS1
Rfam family: 5.8S ribosomal RNA (bases 1-107)
Source: RNAcentral